Tympanuchus pallidicinctus (lesser prairie-chicken) is the source of this 1514-nucleotide long non-coding RNA. RefSeq lists it as uncharacterized. The transcript is spliced from 4 exons. The record is from RefSeq and is a predicted model, not a curated record. Lineage: Eukaryota; Metazoa; Chordata; Aves; Galliformes; Phasianidae.
UCCUGCAGACCAUAAAGAGUCAGGCUAGCAAAGCUGCUGUACCUCAGUAUGGUCCCUAGAAGGUGCCUCAGGCUGAGAUGUAUCAUAGGAGGUUUACUCCACUCCCUCCAACAGUGUUUUAUCAUCAAAAUCUAAGCACAGAGACAGUAAACUGCUCCAAGUCCAUUUACGCUUGAAGUAAAGUCCCAGGAUGCUAUGGCAAGGGCAUGGUGGGCACUGCCAGUUGAUGUAAAUGCACAGGCAUGGUGUGCUUGAGGAGCUCCUAUCUGAUCUUGCAUCCAGAGCUGUGAGGGGAGAGCAGCUAGCUGCUGAGCUCCAAGGUGAAGAAGACACAAAUAUUCAUUUAAAUGCUGAGAGUUAAGGCUGUUUCUUCUGGAGAAGAGAAGACUCUGGAGAGGCUUCAUAGUAGAGCACCUUGUUUCAUUCAGACACUGGCACCUCUGAAGGACUCCUCGCUAUUCCAACAUGGUUGAGAUAAAACACUGGACUUGCUGCCAUAAAGCAGGCUUUAUUUCAGCUCAAACAAGCUCCACAGUUGUAGCCCUUCUCACAACUCCCUGCCAUUGUCUGUGUCCUUCUUCAAUCUUUUUCUAGUGUGAACCCAGACUGGCCACAAGAGAUGGCCUGAAAGGGAUGGUCCUUUGCGAUUCCUUGAAAUACCAGGACCGGAGAGGUAGCAAUACGUUAUGCUUGAGCCUCAAGUGCUUCAGGGAACGUUUUGGACAUCUGUAUGUGUAGGGUCUGGCUUCAGAAAUGUUUGUAACUACUCUCAUUCUUAUGUUUCUUUGUCUUUAUUUAAUCAGUUUACUGGAUGAAUUAAUAUAAAAAAAAAAAAAUGCAGAUAGGCAAGAGGUUAACACAGAAGGAUGUCCUUUAUUCAUAUUGAACAGACCAGGCCAGAGAAAUGGAAGAGUAUUCUCAUUUAAAAUACUAUGAAUAUUUCUAAAUUUCAACAUACAAAUGGUAGAAAGUGACCGUAUAGUACACAGUUUAAUCUCUGAAAGAUCCAGAAUGACACCCUACAUUUCUGCACAAAUUUAAUGGCAAUGCUGACAUCACAGGCUUUCCAGUGUGGGUAUCCAGUGCUGGCACCAAGCAAUCUGUACCACCUGUCCCUUUUUGAACUCUUCCCUGACUUAAUGGCUUGGAAGGAUCAUCUCUGUUAUUAGAGAUAAAUAUCUGAACUAAUACUGUUAAUUGACACUGCUGGUGUCUUUGUCUCGCAUCUGCUGCCAUUGCAGUGUACCAAAAAUAGAUAAUUUUCUGAUUUGCUUGUCAUGUUAUUUGGACACUUUCAUACAACAUAUUUAAUAUUUCUAAGUGGCAGAGCAAAAAUCCCCAGACUGAGGGUAACAUGGGGUGCUUUAGGAAGUGUGUAAGUUCAAGAGUAAUGUGGAAAAGUAAUACUGUGUACCCAAGAGUGUGAUUGUAGCUCUGGCUGCUUUUUUCUCCUUUUCUCAGAUGGGAAAAGUUUUGGAGGGGGCUGUUUGAAAUGGUUUUGCUGCACAUCUUAA